This 1043-nucleotide long non-coding RNA is filed under the name Marmota monax (woodchuck). Lineage: Eukaryota; Metazoa; Chordata; Mammalia; Rodentia; Sciuridae. The record is from RNAcentral.
UUCCACCUCCAUCAAAAACUACCCAGUCAACNAUAGAAAAAAUUUAAAAAAAUCUAUUUUUAUUUAAGUAUAUCAAAAUACAGUAUAGAAUAUUAAAAGACGGGUAUAGAAGGAGUAAACACAGGAGACAGGAAUAACAAGACAAAAGGGUUUGUGAAUACAUAUAUCUCUUGAAUUAUGUGUUAAUACAGAAGUAAAAUUUGGGACAAAUAGACACUUUAACCCUUAUCUUACCGUCUGUGAGAUGGCUAUGAGGCCUGAACAAUAGCCCACCUUUCCCUCUCAGAUUCCAUGCCCCUUCUGAUUUCCUGAAGGAAGUAGAGCUACUUAGGCAGAAUCAACUGCAUCUGAGAAAGAUGAAAACAUUAGGGGCUUUCCCAUUUAGAACUGCAUUAUUCACACAAAUUCUUGGCUUCUGAAAAGAGGCUUUUAGAUAAUUUGGUGGUUUAGAAAACUUAGAUCACAACUGUGAAGCUCUGUCUUUGGUGUUUGAGCCCCCAUUGCCUGAUUGAGGAAGUGGCAGGGACCCAUGUCUGAGGACCUCCCACCCUCUCUACUUUCUGUCUUUCCACUCUUGGGGAAAUAAGACCUUUAAUUUCCACAGUAGAGCUAUGGGUUUGUGCUUGGCGGUCCUUCUGUGCAUUCCUUAUUAUUUCCCUUUUCUGUUCAUUCAUGCCUGAUUCCCUGAACCCCUCAUUUAACCUGGCCUUUACCUAGGUCUCUGAGCCUCAGCCUGCAAGGCUCCUUCCUUGACUAUUCAAGACCCAACUCACAGAUGAUGUCUCUGGAACCUUCCCUGGAUACUCUAGGCAGGCAUAAAUUGGAUAACUGUCACCCAUCCCUUACCCCUCUCACUGUGCCUCCAAAGUACUUUGUCCAUACCUCGGUGAUAGUACUUAUUCUACUGUGAUUCUACUGUAGCUUUGUGAUUGUCUGCCCCUCUGCACCAGGUGUCCAUCCUGACAACAGAGGGCCAAGCCUUAUUCAUUUUCGUGUUAAUAAAUGUUUGUUGAAUGUGGGAGAGAGUUCUAUUAUUUGCUCUA